RNA transcript from Zea mays, 4432 nucleotides. It is a transcript of the gene named vacuolar protein-sorting-associated protein 37 homolog 1, with no coding region annotated. NCBI's taxonomy places the organism in Eukaryota, Viridiplantae, Streptophyta, Magnoliopsida, Poales, Poaceae. The transcript is spliced from 11 exons. The record is from RefSeq and is marked validated.
CCCCCCCACACACACACACUCGCGCUCGACACGCAGGCGACGGUGGCGGCGAUCAGGCCCGGUAUCUCAGCACGGCCGACAGUCCCAGGCUCGACGGCGGCGUCAGCGGCUCCCCUUCCCGCCUCUAGCCAGUGGCCUCGUGCCCUCGGCUCCGGUCCUCUGCACACCGGCCGGAGACCCUGCAUUUCUUUAUACGAUGAGCUGGAGAUUUCCUCUAUUCGGGUAUGUUGAUCUUAUUGAAACCAAUCUAUGCUGAUGUCACAAUCUAUGUUUUAUGAGCCCUGACAUCUCAUUUAUCUGUCUAAUUAGUUAGGUUUUACAUAUUCCUAAUUUGCUAUAUGCAUUUGGUACAUGUUUCCUUUGGAACCUGCUAGUUCAAAUACGUUGCACAAUCACAACACUAUGAUGCCCAGUUUUAGUUUUUUCUCCCUGUAUAACCCUGCAGUCCAAAAGUUCUUUAGUUAACAAAAGAGAAUUUUACCUGAUUGCUAUAUGUGCCAUUUCCUGUGGAUGCAUCUUAACAGUUAUACUGGAUGUAGGAUGCCAUAUACGAAAUUAUGCCUUACAAGUUCUGAAAAUUUUGCUUCUCUUGGUUACUGUUAUUUGCUCCUUUGAAUGCACUCAUAGCAGUUCCCAGCAGCAGCAAUCAGAUCCAAAUUUCCAGGACAUUCCUAUGCAGUCUUGGUACCCUACCUCGGUUGUAGGUUUGUCUUCAUCUCCAGCCACACCUACCUCUUCUAGCUCCAGUCCACAUCAAAGAGCUUCAAAUAAUCUGCAGUUUUCAUCCCGUGGGCAACCAUCUCCUGCUGAGGCUGCAGAGAUAAUUGCCCAUUUGAAGGACAAGAGUAUUGAGGAGUUACAGAGGCUAUUGAAAGAGAAAGAGGCAUAUAAUGCAUUCUUUAACACAUUCGAUCAAGUGAAAACCCAGAACAAUGUGCGUGGCGAGCUUAGAAAGGAGACAUUGCAACUUGCAAGGGAAAAUUUAGAAAAGGAGCAGCGGAUUUUGGAGCUUGGGAAUCAGCGGUCAGGCCUCCAAGUGCUCCAGCCGUCCGGCGUCUGCCAGCUACUCAGCUAGUCAAGAAUUGAAGAUGAGCUCGUCAUCUGAAGAUUUUAAUGGUGGCUGUGGACGUGCUAAUAACGUUGAGGUCUUAUUCCCUGGGUCAAAUAUGGUCGGCAGUGAAAGUCAAAGUGCUUCUGUUCCUCAAGUGGCCUCAAAUGCAGGUAGCACUGGUCCUGCGUCUGCUUUAUCAGCUGCUGCAGAUUGUAAAACCCUUGCUGAAAAGGCAAUUGCAGCAUUCCCUCCUGACCUUAGUGCACAAGCAAAUGACCCCAAGAGAAAGGCAAGGUCACAGGACCCAGGAUGGCAGUUUGGGUGGUGGCCAGACACAACAAAGAAGGAUUUUGUUCAGUGUGUCUUCUGUAAGAAGAUUGUGCCAUCUGGAAUCAAGAGGUUUAAGCAGCAUCUAGCCGGUGGGUUUGGUGACACCAUGAAGUGUGCUAGAGUACCAGAAGUGGUUUCAAAGGAGAUGCACACCUAUCUGAGAAGGAACAUGAGGGUUGUGAUUACUGCGGAUGGUGAUGAAGGUGAAGAGGAAGGGGAGCAGAUUGAUGUAGGCCCCCUACCAAGUUCUGGGACAAAAACCAAGCAAACAAAAAAGCAAAUUGCUCAAGCUUCCAUGUCUUCAUUUGUUGUAGCAGCUCCUAUAAAACCAAAUACACAGAAGGCAAGCAAAUCAGUGAGUGCCAUGCUUUGCAAGACUCCAGAGGAAGUUGUAGCAGAGAGACAUAAAAAUAGAACUUCUCAGACCACUCUUGAGCAUUGCACAAAGAAAGGAACAGAAGCAAAGCAAAUUGUUGACGACCAUGUAGCUGAUUUUCUAUAUGAGAACAAGAUUCCAUUGAAUGUCGUCAAUUCAAGAAGCUGGCAGAUUAUGAUGGAGUCCAUUGGUCAGUAUGGUCCUGGAUAUCGUGGCCCAUCAUACUAUGAGGCAAGGGUACCUUGGCUUGAAAGGGCAGUGAAGAGAACAUCAACAUUGAGAGCUAAGCACGAAGAGGCUUGGAAGGAAUAUGGUUGCUCAAUUAUGUCAGAUGGGUGGACUGACAUACGACAACGGCAUUUGAUAAACUUCCUUGCCAACAGUCCAGCGGGGACCUACUUCUUAGGUUCUGUCGAUGCAUCAAGUGAGAUAGCAAAUGCCAAUAUGUUGGCAGAUCUAUUGGAGAAGCAAAUAAUUAAGGUGGGGAAAGAACAUGUGGUACAUGUGAUCACUGACAAUGGAGCCAAUUUCAAAGCAGCAGGGAGGAUCCUUAUGGACAGAAUUCCCCAUCUGUUUUGGACUCCUUGUGCUGCGCAUUGCUUGGAUUUGUUGUUGGAGGAUAUUGGCAAGAUCAAGGAGUUCAACACUUGCAUCAACAUGGCCAAGAAGGUUUCGAGGUUCCUGUACAAGCAUGGGCGACUUCACAGCCUAAUGAGAGAAAAGCUAGGUGGGGACCUUGUUAGGCCAGGUGUGACUCGAUUUGCAACAUCAUUCUUGACUUUGGCAAGCAUGUAUAAGCAUAAGAGUAAAUUACAAGGCUUGUUUGUUAGUGAUGAAUGGAACGGGUCUAAAUUUGCCCUAGUUAAAGAAGGUGAACAAGCUGAAAAUAUUGUCCUUUCAGUAUCAUUUUGGCAAACUCUUGAAAAUUGUCUUCGGGCUUCACAACCACUACUCAUUGCUCUAAGGAUUGCUGACGGUGAUGAGACGCCAACAGCUCCAGAGAUAAUGGCAGCUAUGGACAAAGCAAAAGCUACCAUACAAGAGUCUUUGAAAGAGAAGCCACGAUUACUUGCUGAAGUAAUCUCAUGCUUUGAGAAGAGGUGGGAUACUCAGAUGGAGCAAAAAUUAUAUGGGGCAGCCCUUUAUUUGAAUCCAGGUAAAUUCUUUACCUUAAGGGAUAAAGACAGGAGGCAAGCUGCAAGACUUCGAGCUAUGUUCAAUGAUGUUUUGUGGAAAAUGAUCAGUGAUGAGGAUGAGCAAACAAAAAUAAGUAAACAAGCAGAUGACUAUGAAAGAUCAGAAGGGGAAUGCUUUUCAAAGGCUGGAGCAAUAAGAGAAAGAGAGAAAAAAAGUCCUAUCCUAUGGUGGGGUGCAUAUGGAGGACUGGCAUAUGAACUAUAAAGCUUAGCAAAAAGGGUUAUAAGCCUAUGUUGUGCAGCUUCAGGUUGUGAGAGAAAUUGGUCAGAUUUUGCAGCAAUCCAUACAAAAAAGAGGAACCGACUAGAACACCAGAGGCUUAAUAAAUUGGUCUAUGUCAGUUACAAUAGGAAGAUGGAAAAUAGGUUUCAAACACUAAGAGAGCUGGGAUCCAAAGGAAAAAGAAGCAACCCACUCGUGCUUGAAGAGUUCAUGUGGGAAAAUGAAUGGGUUGAAGAAAAUGAAGAUGAUGGUGACAACAACAUAUGGCAUGCUGUGGAUGAGGCUUUAGGAGCAACUCAGGCUCUUCGAGGCAGAAACUUGCCAAGAAUAGCUGCUGCAGGUGCUGGUUCGUCUUCUCAGCCUCAACGAACAUAUGUUAGGACAAGGAAGCGUUCAAGAAAUACAGCAGCUCAAGAUAUUGGAGAGGAGGAUAGUGAUGAUCAAGAAGAUGGUGUUGCUGCAGCACAAGCAGAACAAACCCAAGAAGCAACUGGAUUGGACGAAGAUGGUGCUGCUGCUGAUGCAUUUUGUUUGGAUGCUGAUCUGCUCUAGGUAGCAGCCAGCAGUGCACAAUAAUUAGAACCACACAACUGGCUGCUGCUCAAGACCGGCUUACUGAUUUGGAGAGGCAAAAGGAUGAUAUUAUGAGGUCCUAUUCCCCUGCUGCACUACUCGACAAACUCCAAACGUCGAUGGCAAAGCUGGACGAGGAGUCUGAGGAGCUGCAGCAGAAGUUCCUGGCAAAGGACAUCGACUUCCCACACUUGGUACAGAAGUACAAGAAGCUCCGCACGGCUUAUCACAAGCAGGCGUUGCUCCAUCUCGCCGGCCAGACAUAACUCCACUGACAUCCGGCCUGCAUCAUGUCAACUUUGCUGUAUUCCUCUGCUUGGCCCUGUUUUAUUGCUGCAGCUUCCUAUAGGGCUUGCCAAACACUUUGCACGAUUUGUUGGAUGAUAAUAAAGCUUUCGUAUGCUUCAUGUUUCGUGGAUGCUGGCUCUGGUGAGAGGGGAAUUGGAGGGAAUCCAUGGAGAAAUUCUCUUGCUAUUCAAAAUUGUCCCAUGAUCUCCUCUUAUUAGGGUAAAUUCUUCUUAGGGUCUGUUUGUUUCCGUUCAUUUUGAUGAAUUGUAAUUUAACUAACACAGUAGGCUAUUUUUUAGAAUGUGACAUUUCACAACUUUCUAAAGUGUAUAUAUAAGCUUAUCUCAAAUUCAUGAGGUGAAAGAUGAAAAUUAAUUCCAUAGAUUUACAUGCUA